CCUACGGGUGGCAGCAGUAGGGAAUUUUGCUCAAUGGGCGAAACCCUGAAGCAGCAACGCCGCGUGGGUGAUGAAGGUUUUCGGAUUGUAAACUCCUGUUGUUAGAGAAGAAAAUGACUGUAACUAACGAAUAAGCACCGGCUAACUCCGUGCCAGCAGCCGCGGUAAUACGACGGGUGCAAGCGUUACUCGGAAUGACUGGGCGUAAGGGGCGCGUAGGCGGGCUAGCAAGUCAGAUGUGAAAUCCUAUGGCUUAACCGUAGAACUGCAUUUGAAACUGUUAUUCUAGAGUAUGGGAGAGGUAGGUGGAAUUCUUGGUGUAGGGGUAAAAUCCGUAGAGAUCAAGAGGAAUACUCAUUGCGAAGGCGACCUGCUAGAACAUAACUGACGCUGAUGCGCGAAAGCGUGGGUAGCAAACAGGAUUAGAUACCCUUGUAGUC
This 440-nucleotide ribosomal RNA is filed under the name uncultured bacterium. Its description in RNAcentral is "partial 16S ribosomal RNA". It matches the Rfam family "Bacterial small subunit ribosomal RNA", at positions 338 to 795 of the family's 1533-position model. The record is from RNAcentral.